RNAcentral lists this transfer-messenger RNA (399 nucleotides) under uncultured Prevotella sp. It matches the Rfam family "transfer-messenger RNA". From Rfam's summary of the family: Bacterial tmRNA, also known as 10Sa RNA or SsrA, is named for its dual tRNA and mRNA-like properties. Its role is to liberate the mRNA from a stalled ribosome. Lineage: Bacteria; Pseudomonadati; Bacteroidota; Bacteroidia; Bacteroidales; Prevotellaceae. The record is from RNAcentral.
GGGGUUGACCGGAUUUGACAGCGGGCUGAAAUGGUACGUAAGCACGCGGAGCGCUGUCUGCCUGCUCCUUAAUCUCGGUGGUCAAUAAGUUUAUCUGGCGAAAAUAAAUACGCUCUCGCUGCCUAACCGAAGAAUAGUAGGUUCUUGGCUUAAUCCAUUCACAAGGUGAAAGGACGAGACACUACCCGGUUGCUCUUGUUCCGAAGCGUUCCGAAAUGGUAGUGCGGUAAUAUCGGAAAUAGUCUUGUUGGGCCUCGACAAUAAGAUGAAAACUUAGAGGAUAAGGUUGUAACCGGUGGCUGAGGUCUUGUUGCAGCACGAAAAUCCAGACUCAGAUAAGCGUGUAGAAAGCGUAUGGUUUCCCUGUUUGGACGAGGGUUCGACUCCCUCCAGCUCCAC